AGAGUUUGAUCAUGGCUCAGGAUGAACGCUGGCGGCGUGCCUAAUACAUGCAAGUCGAGCGAACGGACGAGAAGCUUGCUUCUCUGAUGUUAGCGGCGGACGGGUGAGUAACACGUGGAUAACCUACCUAUAAGACUGGGAUAACUUCGGGAAACCGGAGCUAAUACCGGAUAAUAUUUUAAACCGCAUGGUUCAAAAGUGAAAGACGGUCUUGCUGUCACUUAUAGAUGGAUCCGCGCUGCAUUAGCUAGUUGGUAAGGUAACGGCUUACCAAGGCAACGAUGCAUAGCCGACCUGAGAGGGUGAUCGGCCACACUGGAACUGAGACACGGUCCAGACUCCUACGGGAGGCAGCAGUAGGGAAUCUUCCGCAAUGGGCGAAAGCCUGACGGAGCAACGCCGCGUGAGUGAUGAAGGUCUUCGGAUCGUAAAACUCUGUUAUUAGGGAAGAACAUAUGUGUAAGUAACUGUGCACAUCUUGACGGUACCUAAUCAGAAAGCCACGGCUAACUACGUGCCAGCAGCCGCGGUAAUACGUAGGUGGCAAGCGUUAUCCGGAAUUAUUGGGCGUAAAGCGCGCGUAGGCGGUUUUUUAAGUCUGAUGUGAAAGCCCACGGCUCAACCGUGGAGGGUCAUUGGAAACUGGAAAUCUUGAGUGCAGAAGAGGAAAGUGGAAUUCCAUGUGUAGCGGUGAAAUGCGCAGAGAUAUGGAGGAACACCAGUGGCGAAGGCGACUUUCUGGUCUGUAACUGACGCUGAUGUGCGAAAGCGUGGGGAUCAAACAGGAUUAGAUACCCUGGUAGUCC
This 806-nucleotide ribosomal RNA is filed under the name uncultured bacterium. RNAcentral's name for it is "bacterial SSU rRNA". It matches the Rfam family "Bacterial small subunit ribosomal RNA", at positions 8 to 796 of the family's 1533-position model. The record is from RNAcentral.